UGGAAGUAUAAAAACGUAACAAGGUCUCCGUAGGUGAACCUGCGGAGGGAUCAUUACACAAAUAUGAAGGCGGGCUGGAACCUCUCGGGGUUACAGCCUUGCUGAAUUAUUCACCCUUGUCUUUUGCGUACUUCUUGUUUCCUUGGUGGGUUCGCCCACCACUAGGACAAACAUAAACCUUUUGUAAUUGCAAUCAGCGUCAGUAACAAAUUAAUAAUUACAACUUUCAACAACGGAUCUCUUGGUUCUGGCAUCGAUGAAGAACGCAGCGAAAUGCGAUAAGUAGUGUGAAUUGCAGAAUUCAGUGAAUCAUCGAAUCUUUGAACGCACAUUGCGCCCUUUGGUAUUCCAAAGGGCAUGCCUGUUCGAGCGUCAUUUGUACCCUCAAGCUUUGCUUGGUGUUGGGCGUCUUGUCUCUAGCUUUGCUGGAGACUCGCCUUAAAGUAAUUGGCAGCCGGCCUACUGGUUUCGGAGCGCAGCACAAGUCGCACUCUCUAUCAGCAAAGGUCUAGCAUCCACUAAGCCUUUUUUCAACUUUGACCUCGGAUCAGUAGCAUCCCGGUA
Molecule: ribosomal RNA, 564 nt
Filed under: Alternaria sp. TPS9
Lineage: Eukaryota; Fungi; Ascomycota; Dothideomycetes; Pleosporales; Pleosporaceae
Description: eukaryotic LSU rRNA
Rfam family: 5.8S ribosomal RNA (bases 222-375)
Source: RNAcentral